UACGGAAGGGGCAAGCGUUGUUCGGAAUCAUUGGGCGUAAAGGGCGUGUAGGUGGUUCUGUAUGUCUACCGUGAAAGCGUACGGCUCAACCGUAUUUAGUCGGUAGAAACUGCAGGACUUGAGGCUGGGAGGGGCUGGUGGAAUUCCCCGUGUAGCGGUGAAAUGCGUAGAGAUGGGGGAGAACACUCGUGGCGAAGGCGGCCAGCUAGACCAGCUCUGACACUGAGGCGCGACAGCGUGGGGAGCAAACAGG
Molecule: ribosomal RNA, 253 nt
Filed under: uncultured bacterium
Lineage: Bacteria
Description: partial 16S ribosomal RNA
Rfam family: Bacterial small subunit ribosomal RNA
Source: RNAcentral